UGAGCCAAUCACAGUGCACAUAGCUAACCCAAUACACUCGGACAUUCUCUGCUUCCACGUCCAUUGAAAUGCAUUGCAGUUAGUCCGUUUUCAUUCGUUUUUAUAUGUAUUUUCGUGACAUUUUAAGUUUAAAAUGGUCAAACGGUGUACAUGGGGUACAUGCAACUCCGAUACUAGGUAUCCCGAGAGGCUGGGCGACGGUGUCUAUUUUUUACCCUUUCCAAAGCCACAUCUCAACCCAGAUAAGUGUCUGCUCUGGAUUAAGUUAUGUGGUAGACCACAACACCAACUAAACGUGAAUAAAAUCAACAAGGACGUCUACAUCUGUUCUAAGCAUUUUGUCAAUGGAGGCCCAGCACUGAGUUUCCCCAUACUCACCAAGCUACAAGGACUGGAUCUACUGUAGGACAGAGGUGUCGUCCAUCUCCAAAAAAGAGGUGUGAAUCAGCUCCCAGAAGGACCAAGAAGGACAGAAAAAUCAGGAGAGGAGUGCCGCUAGAGGAUAAGCAACCACCCGUGCAACAGCAGCCAGAGGAAGUGCCAGAACAUCUGGACCAGCAUCCACCACUGGAGCUGCCCUCAAGGGAAGUGGAGCAAGAGCUGCUGACAUUAAGGACUAUGCUGGCCCAGAAGGAUGCUGAAAUUGAAG
Molecule: long non-coding RNA, 649 nt
Organism: Sander lucioperca (pikeperch)
Lineage: Eukaryota; Metazoa; Chordata; Actinopteri; Perciformes; Percidae
Exons: 4
Source: RefSeq, a predicted model, not a curated record